UUUCCGUAGGUGAACCUGCGGAAGGAUCAUUAACGCUCUGUGUCCAACCUCACCGCUGGGUUGGGGAGGGGGCCACGUGCCUCCACCUCUCCCUCCGGCGAGCACCCGUGACCGGUUGAAGUCCACCCCCGUGCACCUCACACCUUGCCUGAUCAGCGGUGUCGGCCCUUCGGGGUCUGGCACUCAGUUGUAUUGAACGAGACCACAACUUUUAACAACGGAUAUCUCGGUUCCC
Molecule: unclassified non-coding RNA, 235 nt
Filed under: soil metagenome
Description: partial contains small subunit ribosomal RNA, internal transcribed spacer 1, and 5.8S ribosomal RNA
Source: RNAcentral